AGCGAACGCUGGCGGCAGGCCUAACACAUGCAAGUCGAACGAACAUUUCGGGGUUAGUGGCGGACGGGAGAGUAACCCGAGGGGACGUUCCCUUAUGAUCAGACUAACUCAGAGAAACGGGUACUAAUACCAAAUGUGGCCUUAGGGGGGAAGAUUAAUCGCCGUUCGAGCGGCCCGCGUCUGAUUAGCUAGUUGGGUGAGGUAGUGGCUAACCAAGGCGAGGGUCAGUAGCUGGGCUGCGAGGCUGAUCAGCCACAUUGGGACCGAGACACGGCCCAAACUCGGACGGGAGGGAGCAGUGGGGUAUACUGCGGAAUGGGCGAAGGCCUGACGCAGCCACGCCGGGUGAAUGAUGAAGGGGUUAGGAUUGCAAUAUUCUUUCGCAGGAGACGAUAAUGACGGUACCCGGAGAAGAAGCCCCGGCUAACUACGUG
This 434-nucleotide ribosomal RNA is filed under the name uncultured bacterium. RNAcentral describes it as "partial 16S ribosomal RNA". It matches the Rfam family "Bacterial small subunit ribosomal RNA", at positions 29 to 507 of the family's 1533-position model. The record is from RNAcentral.